GACGAACGCUGGCGGCGUGCCUAAUACAUGCAAGUAGAACGCUGAAGGAGGAGCUUACUUCUCCGGAUGAGUUGCGAACGGGUGAGUAACGCGUAGGUAACCUGCCUGGUAGCGGGGGAUAACUAUUGGAAACGAUAGCUAAUACCGCAUAACAGUAGAUAUUGCAUGAUAUCUGCUUGAAAGGUGCAAUUGCAUCACUACCAGAUGGACCUGCGUUGUAUUAGCUAGUUGGUGAGGUAACGGCUCACCAAGGCGACGAUACAUAGCCGACCUGAGAGGGUGAUCGGCCACACUGGGACUGAGACACGGCCCAGACUCCUACGGGAGGCAGCAGUAGGGAAUCUUCGGCAAUGGACGGAAGUCUGACCGAGCAACGCCGCGUGAGUGAAGAAGGUUUUCGGAUCGUAAAGCUCUGUUGUAAGAGAAGAACGAGUGUGAGAGUGGAAAGUUCACACUGUGACGGUAUCUUACCAGAAAGGGACGGCUCACUACGUGCCAGCAGCCGCGGUAAUACGUAGGUCCCGAGCGUUGUCCGGAUUUAUUGGGCGUAAAGCGAGCGCAGGCGGUUAGAUAGUCUGAAGUUAAAGGCUGUGGCUUAACCAUAGUACGCUUUGGAAACUGUUUAACUUGAGUGCAAGAGGGGAGAGUGGAAUUCCAUGUGUAUCGGUGAAAUGCGUAUAUAUAUGGAGGAACACCGGUGGCGAAAGCGGCUCUCUGGCUUUGUAACUGACGCUUAGGCUCUAAGCUUGGUGGAGCAACAUG
Molecule: ribosomal RNA, 762 nt
Filed under: uncultured Streptococcus sp.
Lineage: Bacteria; Bacillati; Bacillota; Bacilli; Lactobacillales; Streptococcaceae
Description: bacterial SSU rRNA
Rfam family: Bacterial small subunit ribosomal RNA
Source: RNAcentral